GAGUUUUGAUCAUGGCUCAGGAUGAACGCUAGCUACAGGCUUAACACAUGCAAGUCGAGGGGAAACGACAUCGAAAGCUUGCUUUUGAUGGGCGUCGACCGGCGCACGGGUGAGUAACGCGUAUCCAACCUGCCCACCACUUGGGGAUAACCUUGCGAAAGUAAGACUAAUACCCAAUGACGUCUCUAGAAGACAUCUGAAAGGGAUUAAAGAUUUAUCGGUGAUGGAUGGGGAUGCGUCUGAUUAGCUUGGUUGGCGGGGUAACGGCCCACCAAGGCUACGAUCAGUAGGGUUCUGGAGAGGAACGGUCCCCCACAUUGGAACUGAGACACGGUACCAAACUCCGUACGGGAGGCA
Molecule: ribosomal RNA, 357 nt
Filed under: uncultured bacterium
Lineage: Bacteria
Description: bacterial SSU rRNA
Rfam family: Bacterial small subunit ribosomal RNA
Source: RNAcentral